GCUAAGGUAGCAUAAUCAUUUGUUUUUUAAUUGGGGACCGGCAUGAAUGGUUAAACUUGAUUUUUUGUUUGUUAGGUUUAAUAAGAAAUUAAAGUCAAGGUAAUAAUUCUUUGAUUAAUUUAGGGGACGAUAAGACCCUAAAAGCUUUAUAAGUUUAUUUUAUAGUGUUAAAUAGAUAUUUAUUUUACUGGGGCGGUAUAAGUUAAUUUGCUAUACGAGUUAUAUAUGAUCCCUUAUAUUAGGAUGUGUUGGUUAAGUUACUUUAGGGUUAA
This 272-nucleotide ribosomal RNA is filed under the name Gammarus cf. roeselii GcfROE2b. RNAcentral's name for it is "partial 16S ribosomal RNA". The record is from RNAcentral. Lineage: Eukaryota; Metazoa; Arthropoda; Malacostraca; Amphipoda; Gammaridae.